Molecule: long non-coding RNA, 844 nt
Organism: Mauremys reevesii (Reeves's turtle)
Lineage: Eukaryota; Metazoa; Chordata; Testudines; Geoemydidae
Exons: 2
Source: RefSeq, a predicted model, not a curated record
CUCUGAUGGUAGAAAGGAUGGUAUUAAAGGUUCUAGAUACUACGGACUCCACUCUUCUGAAGACUUAGCAGGGGGUGACUUCAAGAUAGUCAAGGGGUGGAAGGCAGUGAGGUGAGCUAAGGCAGCUUGGAGCUGGUGGAUGGAACUGACCUAAGGAGGCUUUGAGGUGGCAGUAGAUGGAGCUGCACUGAGGCAGGUGAGGGCACUUGGGCAGCAGCCUGCCUAAGGGAGUCUGGGGUAGGCCUCCCUACCCAGCAAUUAAAGCUGAAAUCACUUCAGCUGGGGCAGGUAGUAGAAGCCUUUGACAUAACUUCCUUUAGGAGCUGGAAAAUGACCUGGCAGAAUCCUUGAAUUCUACCAGCCCUGGACAACAAACUAGUUUUUGCAAUGAAAAGUCUGGGAAAUCUUUAAUAUGCAGACAAGCAGCUGCAGACAGCCACUGAAGGAAGAGACUGGUCCAGCCACGUUCAGGGAUGGCUGCAAAGCACAGUUGUGCUCAGCUGCAUCAAAGAAUCCAAAUGACAUUCUGUGAAUGCAGCAGGUUUUGUGAUGCUGGUUACUAGAAGUGUCCAGCAUUUACUGCUCUGCAAUUCAUUAACACUGGAUGCAUCAGAGUGUGGAAAUGCAAUUUGGAAAGAAGAUGUAUUUGAAACACAUUGAAGUACUGCAGUGGUUUAUUAAAAUAUAGAUUGUUCCUUCAUUUUAAAGCCUCUCUGGUAUAAAGGCUGUUUUUCUCCAGCUCCAUGACUGCCACACGCACCAGCCUCCUUAAAAUCAAUCUGAUGGAAAGAGAGAGAAGAGAAGCAUAAUGAUUUAUUAAUAAUAGUAAAGCAUCUACUACGGA